Molecule: microRNA precursor, 65 nt
Filed under: Tursiops truncatus (common bottlenose dolphin)
Lineage: Eukaryota; Metazoa; Chordata; Mammalia; Artiodactyla; Delphinidae
Description: miRNA (ENSTTRG00000023649.1)
Source: RNAcentral
UGUAUGUAUGUAUGCAUGUGCCUGCAUGGAUACAUGUAUGUGUAUGUAUGAUUGUAUACAUAUAU